Molecule: ribosomal RNA, 332 nt
Filed under: uncultured bacterium
Lineage: Bacteria
Description: bacterial SSU rRNA
Rfam family: Bacterial small subunit ribosomal RNA
Source: RNAcentral
CGUGUAGGUGGCUAAUUAAGUCAGGUGUGAAAUCCUUCCGCUUAACGGGAGAAGUGCACUUGAAACUGCUUAGCUAGAGUACGGGAGAGGAAGGUGGAGUUCCUGGUGUAGAGGUGAAAUUCAUAGAUAUCGGGAAGAACACCGGUGGCGAAGGCGGCCUUCUGGCCCGAUACUGACGCUGAGACGCGAAAGCGUGGGGAGCAAACAGGAUUAGAUACCCUGGUAGUCCACGCCGUAAACGUUGGGCACUAGGUGUGGGAGGUUUUUAUUCCUUCUUUGCCGAAGCUAACGCAUUAAGUGCCCCGCCUGGGGAGUACGGUCGCAAGGCUAAA